GUGUCAGCCGCCGCGGUAACAUGUAGGGGGCAAGCGUUGUUCGGAAUUAUUGGGCGUAAAGGGCAUGUAGGCGGUUUCAUAAGUCCGGCGUGAAAUGGUAAGGCUCAACCUUAUCCUGCGCCGGAAACUGCGAGACUAGAAUCACUGAGGGGGAAUCAGAAUUCCAGGUGUAGGGGUGAAAUCUGUAGAUAUCUGGAAGAAUACCAGUGGCGAAGGCGGAUUCCUGGCAGAUGAUUGACGCUGAGGUGCGAAAGCGUGGGGAGCAAACAGGAUUAGAUACCCUUGUAGUCC
Molecule: ribosomal RNA, 291 nt
Filed under: uncultured bacterium
Lineage: Bacteria
Description: partial 16S ribosomal RNA
Rfam family: Bacterial small subunit ribosomal RNA
Source: RNAcentral